Molecule: ribosomal RNA, 253 nt
Filed under: uncultured bacterium
Lineage: Bacteria
Description: partial 16S ribosomal RNA
Rfam family: Bacterial small subunit ribosomal RNA
Source: RNAcentral
CACGGGGGGAGCAAGCGUUGUUCGGAAUCACUGGGCGUAAAGGGCGUGUAGGCGGUCUGGUAAGUGGGAUGUGAAAGCCCCCGGCUCACCCGGGGAUCUGCAUUCCAAACUGCCAGACUUGAGUAUGGGAGAGGACAGGGGAAUUCCUGGUGUAGCGGUGAAAUGCGUAGAUAUCGGGAGGAACACCUGUGGCGAAAGCGGCGCACUGGACCAUAACUGACGCUGAGGCGCGAAAGCUAGGGGAGCAAACAGG